This 290-nucleotide long non-coding RNA is filed under the name Homo sapiens (human). RNAcentral describes it as "HSALNT0318136". Lineage: Eukaryota; Metazoa; Chordata; Mammalia; Primates; Hominidae. The record is from RNAcentral.
CUCCCGAGUAGCUGGGAUUAUAGGCAUGCACCACCACGCCCAGAGCCAACUACUAAGCCUGUAGCAGCCUCCCAAACUGCCCAGUCUUGUUCAGAUGCACCUCCAGAAACACAGGGGUCCAAAAUGCCCCUUCCCAGACACCCUGAGGAGUAGAACAGUGCCAGCAGGCUCCAGGGAUGAGGGACUAGCUACCACAUUCCCUUUCCCAAGCCUCAGUUUCCCCACCUGUAAGAUGAGGGAUAUGGGCUCUGACUUUCUGAGUUUGGAAAAUAAAGUGCUCCCCAAACUGG